AUGUAUUAGUAUUGUUUCUAGAUUUUUUCCUUAUAAUUAAUUUCUUGUUUCAUACCAUUUUGGUCAAAAAAGAUGCUUGACAAUAU
Mustela erminea (ermine) is the source of this 86-nucleotide long non-coding RNA. RefSeq lists it as uncharacterized. Lineage: Eukaryota; Metazoa; Chordata; Mammalia; Carnivora; Mustelidae. The record is from RefSeq and is a predicted model, not a curated record. The transcript is spliced from 3 exons.